Molecule: long non-coding RNA, 1059 nt
Filed under: Callithrix jacchus (white-tufted-ear marmoset)
Lineage: Eukaryota; Metazoa; Chordata; Mammalia; Primates; Cebidae
Description: lncRNA (ENSCJAG00000077948.1)
Source: RNAcentral
AUGAUCUGGCUGGAUUUUGGUAAUCAGACGGAGUUUCGCUCUUGUUACCCAGGCUGGAGUGAAAUGGCGCGAUCUCGGCUCACUGCAACCUCCACCCCCUGGAUUCAAGCAAUUCUCCCGCCUCAGCCUCCUGAGUUGCUGGGAUUACAGGUACGCACCACCAUACCCAGCUAAUUUUUUGUAUUUUUAGUAGAGAUGGGGUUUCACCAUGUUGACCAGUAUGGUCUCGAUCUCUUGACCUAGUGAUCCACCUGCCUCGGCGUCCCAAAGUGCUGGGAUUACAGGCUUGAGCCACCGCGCCUGGCCCUCUACUCAAUUCUUAAACAAGAUCCUUGAGAUGUGUCUUGUCUGAAAGGUGUUUUUAUGUGAGGCCUCCUUUGGGUUUUGUUUUGAACCCCUACCUAUUACUGUGGAGAGCAGCAUCUCCAGGGCUCUGUGAUUGGUUUGGCUGCAUUUCUCCCUUGGCUACUAAGUGAUUAGCUCAUAACUGAUCAUGUUCAAAUUUGUCUCCUUAUUCACAAUGUAUUCAGUAGAGAGAGAGGGCUACUGGGUUAAAAACCAAAGGAUUUUUAACAUGAAGAGAAGCCUACAUGUUAUCUAACACAAUCUGUUCUCCAACACUGACCUCUUUCUGCCCAUACACAGGCACUGCUCUUGACAAGAAGCUCACUGCUUUACAAGGCAACGCUUCCCACUCUUACACAUCCAGUGUUCUAUCAUGUCUUUCUUAAUGGUUAAAUGAAAUCUAGCUCACUGCAAUUUUCACAUCUGUAUACUGCUUUUUCCCUCUGAGGUGCUAUGCAAAAAUAUUGAAUCAGUAUUCUCUGACAGUCAGUAUUUUGAGAUAUUUAACAAUAGAGAGCCUAAAUCCUUAUUACCCUUUCCCAGGCCAAUUAUCCAUCAUUUUUUCAACUAUUGGUCAACCGUCUUGGCUUCCCCCUUCCUACAGUCACCAAUAGAGUAACAGCUCAUGUCCCUUCUGAUCCACAUGACCUGGAACCAAAUGCAAUGUUCCCCCUGGGUCUGAAUAGACCAGAGCAUGCUGUAAGAGGAUGAUCA